RNAcentral lists this ribosomal RNA (301 nucleotides) under uncultured bacterium. RNAcentral's name for it is "partial 16S ribosomal RNA". It matches the Rfam family "Bacterial small subunit ribosomal RNA", at positions 509 to 809 of the family's 1533-position model. The record is from RNAcentral.
CAGUAGCCGCGGUAAUACGGAGGGUGCAAGCGUUAAUCGGAUUUACUGGGCGUAAAGCGUGCGUAGGCGGCUUUUUAAGUCGGAUGUGAAAUCCCUGAGCUUAACUUAGGAAUUGCAUUCGAUACUGGGAAGCUAGAGUAUGGGAGAGGAUGGUAGAAUUCCAGGUGUAGCGGUGAAAUGCGUAGAGAUCUGGAGGAAUACCGAUGGCGAAGGCAGCCAUCUGGCCUAAUACUGACGCUGAGGUACGAAAGCAUGGGGAGCAAACAGGAUUAGAUACCCCGGUAGUCCCUGUCUCUUAUAU